AGGACGAACGCUUGCGGCGUGCCUGAGAAAUGCAAGUCGAACGAGUUUAGAGAGCAAUCUUUAAGCUAGUGGCGAACGGUCGAGUAACACGUAAGCAAUCUGCCCGAGAGCGGGGGAUAAUCCACCGAAAGGUGGGGUAAUACCGCGCAACUUCGCUGGUUUUAUGAUCGGUGAAGAAAGAUUUAUCACUCUCGGAGGAGCUUGCGGCCUAUCAGCUAGUCGGUGGGGUCACGGCCUACCGAGGCGACGACGGGUAGCUGGUCUGAGAGGACGGCCAGCCGGACUGGGACUGAGACACGGCCCAGACUCCUACGGGAGGCAGCAGUGGGGAAUCUUGCGCAAUGGGCGAAAGCCUGACGCAGCGACGCCGCGUGUGGGAAGAAGGCCUUCGGGUUGUAACCACUUUCAGCAGGGAAGAGCGCAAGUGACGGUACCUGCAGAAGAAGCCCGGCCAACUACGUGCCAGCAGCCGC
Molecule: ribosomal RNA, 473 nt
Filed under: uncultured bacterium
Lineage: Bacteria
Description: SSU rRNA
Rfam family: Bacterial small subunit ribosomal RNA
Source: RNAcentral